UGGUGUUGAGAUUCCACACUGCCCUUGGUUACGAUUUUUUUUUUUGCUGGUAAUGAUACAACAUGCUAUUAACUGUUACCAUUUUUGAAUGACAGAUGAGGGUAGCUCUACAGAAUAGCCUCAGUAGAGAAGUUACGUUGUUAUGUUGUUGUACUCUGCUAUCCUGAGUUAGGAUUGGCCUUUGAUUUUUAGGUAUAUGUGUCACCAUAGUUACAUGAAUGUGACUCUUUUCACUUUCAGACUAAGUGGAAGAUGCCUUUCCAGAAGUCAUUUGCUGCUUAUGGUUUAAGAUUAUUUAAUGAAAUUGUGAGAUACAGGCUGGUGAAAUAAUUAGAUGGCUGGAGUUUGAUGUUAGAUUACAACCUUUUAAAUCUUAUAAUGUUAAGGAGUAAUUGAGGUAUAGGGGAUUUUUUUCCUUUGGUUUGCUGCUUUGUUGGUCCUCUGUACCAUCAGAAUUUUGGGCAGGGAAGCUGCUGUGCAGCUGCUUUGUGUCUUGCCCCGAGGGUGUAACUGUUUGGGAUCUCUCAAAAUCUCUGCAGUGAGAAAGAAAGAAUGGGUAUGUUUAGUACGGAAUGAGUUGUUACCUUUAUUUCAGGUAGGUGAUGUGUAGCAUAGUGUACUCAAUACAGAAAUAGCCACAAAUUUCCUUAAAGCAGCACACACAGCAGCUGACUGCAGCUGAAAAGCUACUUGUAGAUGGUAAGAUGGUAGAGAAAGAGGGGUGGGCUUCUGGGUUGGUCGCCUUGUUUUUCAACUCGUUUGUAACUAAAUAACCUAUUUCAGUUCAGUCUCAUUUCUAAAUGAGCAGACUGGUCUUAACUCUAGACAGGCAGUACAGUCUCACCUAACGUGGGUCUUUGAGGAGCAAGAAGGUAGCAACUACGCUGCAAUAGAAUAGUUACCAUAAAUAUGGUAGUGGUGGCAUGUUAGUGCCCUAUAGCAGAGACUUACAGCUUACCUGAGAAGAGCAGGGAAAUGAUUUAAAAGGUUAUAGCUUUCCUGCUCUGUCUGUCCCUUUCUGCUAAAGGCACCAAGUCUGAAUUGCAAAUGGCAUCAAAACAUUCAGAUGUGGCCAUGUUUAGCUGAAGAUAAACAUCUGUACACUAAAUUACAAAGAGUGGCUUCAGAGUAAGAAUUUGUUGGCCCUUUUUUAUUGCCAAAUCAAGCUUUUAACAAUUUUAUAAAAACUUUUUAUGCUGUUGUGGGGCCUUUUGUGGGAGUAAUUCAGCACAAGCACUGACUACAAACACAAGCAGAGCUGUUACGUUUCUUGUUCAUAGUAACCCUGAAAAACUUAACCAACAUUCUUCUGUUCCUUUUUAUAAGAUCUUGGUUUGCAUCAGACCAGAGCGGAAUGCAUGUUUCCCAAUAAAAGAUGAGGGAUGCUUUAAGAAGGCUUCUCUUGGAUGUUUUCAAGGGCUUUGGGCUCCUUGAGGAUCAUGCACUAGAAGGUGCCCCUGGCUGUGGCAUGAGACGACACACUGAUCUUGCUGAACCACUUCACCUGUGUGUAGUGCUUCAUACUACACAAGUGUGCUGUUAUGACCCCAACAGAGACUUGCUAAAGCCAGAGCAUUUCUGAUACUCUCAAUCAGUUGGGAAUAGAACUAAGUUAAUUUAUUCCACAAGGCAGCCCAGCACCUUUUCUGAGUUACUAAGUGGAGAUUAGAGCCCCAGGAUGGAAAGAAAGAAGGACUUCGAGGGAAGCGUGGAGCAGCAGGUACAACCUUUUUGACACUUAACAAAUGUAGCCCCAUACUGUCCUAAUGCACGUGGAAGUGAAUGUGGCUCAUCUCAGUUCUAAGCUGAUUUCUGAGAAAAUCCAUCACAACUCAGAAUCAUGGAAUGGCACUUGGCCUUCGUACAGGGAAAACAGGGGGGUGGGGGACAGCUGAGGAAAGCACCUGUGCUGCAAACUCCUGACUUGGAUAUCUGGAAGUGGGUUUCACCCCUGUACCCUCUCGAGAUGUAGAGAGGACCUUUUGGCGUGAGGUCUGCUUUGCUCACUAAGCCCAAACUUUACACCAAGUUUUGUGAGCAGGAUGGCAGGGAGCUUGUGUGCCCAGCUCUAGUGUUCUGGGCUGUUGUUUUUUGGAGGUUACAGGUAGUGCAGGCAGUGCCGUGCUGCCUGCAGUCCCUCCUAACUGCUCUGUGCAGCUGACCACAUGGUAAGUAUCAGCAGUCCGAGUCACAGAUGGUAACAGUGGGUCAGAACUUAGUUUGAGUUAUGCAAACUGCUUACUAAUUUGCGUGUAGAAUAAAACGUUCAAAUAGCCUGCCAUGCAUAAAGUAUGUAUUUUUGCAGUACAGAGUUGUCAACAGAUGGCAGCAUCUGACUUUGAAUCAUUAGAGACUUUGAAGGUGAUCUCUAUAGCGAGAGGAAUCCGGAGAGGGCUUUGGUGUUGCUGCUGGU
This 2413-nucleotide long non-coding RNA is filed under the name Gallus gallus (chicken). RNAcentral describes it as "lncRNA (ENSGALG00010022966.1)". The record is from RNAcentral. Lineage: Eukaryota; Metazoa; Chordata; Aves; Galliformes; Phasianidae.